This 71-nucleotide transfer RNA is filed under the name Mus musculus (house mouse). It matches the Rfam family "tRNA". Rfam says of the family: Transfer RNA (tRNA) molecules are approximately 80 nucleotides in length. Their secondary structure includes four short double-helical elements and three loops (D, anti-codon, and T loops). Further hydrogen bonds mediate the characteristic L-shaped molecular structure. tRNAs have two regions of fundamental functional importance: the anti-codon, which is responsible for specific mRNA codon recognition, and the 3' end, to which the tRNAs corresponding amino acid is attached (by aminoacyl-tRNA synthetases). tRNAs cope with the degeneracy of the genetic code in two manners: having more than one tRNA (with a specific anti-codon) for a particular amino acid; and 'wobble' base-pairing, i.e. permitting non-standard base-pairing at the 3rd anti-codon position. Lineage: Eukaryota; Metazoa; Chordata; Mammalia; Rodentia; Muridae. RNAcentral also lists the same sequence under 1 other name. The record is from Rfam by way of RNAcentral.
GGUUGUAGCUCAGAUAGGUAGAGCAGCUGUCUAGUAUAUACUUGGUCCUGGGUUUUAUCCCAGUACUACCA